Molecule: ribosomal RNA, 387 nt
Filed under: uncultured bacterium
Lineage: Bacteria
Description: bacterial SSU rRNA
Rfam family: Bacterial small subunit ribosomal RNA
Source: RNAcentral
AUUGAACGCUGGCGGCAGGCCUAACACAUGCAAGUCGAACGGAAAGGCCCCUUCGGGGGUGCUCGAGUGGCGAACGGGUGAGUAACACGUGGGUGAUCUGCCCCUGACUUUGGGAUAAGCCUGAGAAAUUGGGUCUAAUACCGGAUAUGACCUGCCCUUGCAUGGGGGUGGGUGGAAAGCUUUUGCGGUCAGGGAUGGGCCCGCGGCCUAUCAGCUUGUUGGUGGGGUAAUGGCCUACCAAGGCGACGACGGGUAGCCGACCUGAGAGGGUGAUCGGCCACACUGGGACUGAGACACGGCCCAGACUCCUACGGGAGGCAGCAGUGGGGAAUAUUGCACAAUGGGCGCAAGCCUGAUGCAGCGACGCCGCGUGAGGGAUGACGGCCU